Molecule: ribosomal RNA, 446 nt
Filed under: uncultured bacterium
Lineage: Bacteria
Description: partial 16S ribosomal RNA
Rfam family: Bacterial small subunit ribosomal RNA
Source: RNAcentral
CCUACGGGUGGCAGCAGUCGAGAAUCAUUCACAAUGGGGGAAACCCUGAUGGUGCGACGCCGCGUGGGGGAAUGAAGGUCUUCGGAUUGUAAACCCCUGUCAUAUGGGAGCAAAUUAAAAAGAGAGUACCACAAGAGGAAUAGACGACUAAAUCUGCGCCAGCAACCGCGGUAAUACAGCGGGUGCAAGCGUUGUUCGGAUUCACUGGGCGUAAAGCGUUCGUAGGCUGUGUUGUAAGUCGUGUGUGAAAGGGGCGGGCUCAACCAGCGAAGGGCACCUGAUAAUGGGAGACUAGAGUAAUGGAGGGGGAAGCGGAAUGCGUGGUGUAGCAGUGAAAUGCGUAGAUAUCGAGAGGAACACUGGUGGCGAAGGCGGGUUCCUGGACAUUAACUGACGCUGAGGCACGAAGGCCAGGGGAGCGAAAGGGAUUAGAUACCCGGGUAGUC